UUUCAUUUUAUUGACCUCUAGAAGAGAAAUCUUCAACUUUUUUAAUGUGACAAGAGUCAAAGGGAUAUUUGACUCCUAACCUGAAAAAGAAAUGUGGCAUUGUAUUCACAGUGGACUAAUUAACAAAAUCCUAAAACAUUGUAUUUGUGACCCCUUUCAGAAAGCUGGGUGUAUGACAGAUGUCACUACUUCACAGGAGAGGCAUUUGAACAUAAAAAAAACGUUUUUUCCCCCCCUCCAUAUAAAUGCAUUUUUUUUUGCAGAAGUGCCUUUUUCAGCAUGUGAACUUUUAUGUGCCAUAACAAAGUCAUCUGUAAAUAUAAAUACCAAAAUGUGAAAUCACGAAGCUGUUUAGACGCUGAGAAAAUGCCUAGCCAUGAUUGGUUGAGAUAAUGAGUGGGCUGGGACAUUCACAAGAAAGGAGUCCAUUCUGUCACUCAAGGCUUGUCUGUCAAAUGGCGCAUCCUGCUCUCUGCUACCGCGGACAUUACAACGAUCCAUUGGAUGUAAUCAUAUUUUCCAUCAUGGACUCCAUGCAAAGUGUAGCUACAGCUUUCAAUACCAGUGUUGUCCUGAAUACUGCUGCUGGUAUCGACACAGCUCUGUCUUCUGGGGCUAAUGCAGUCUGGACUGGUUGAAGCCGAGUGGGAAGGAUCAUUUUGAAAGUGUUUCAGUCUGCCGUGAAUCAUCAUAAUCCAUACACCGCGGCUCUCUGCCACCAAGGAGAUGAUCGAGGGUGAACAAGCAACACUUCAGCUUUAAUUGUCUGGAGCCUGGUUUUGCUUUCACUCAUUGCUGUGCAAUAUUCACCUCCUUCCUCCCAGAGAUGUGAAGGCAUACCCCAGACUGGACACAACCCGACAAACAUAUCUUUUUGAGAAGAUCAGGACUUUUGCAAUGAAAAAGCCAUGGACAUUACAUGUCCUGAUUCAAAGGGCAGGACAGAAAUAUGCUCUCAGGCUAGAUUCCUUUGUUCAUAUCAUACAUAACCUGAACCAAAGUUACUCAAAAUGAUCUUACGAUAUAGGCCUAGAUUAUGUUUUUACCUUUUGUGUAGGCUACUAUCUUGCACUACCUAGCACUUGAAGUUAAUAAAGUAUUUUGUUUAAA
Molecule: long non-coding RNA, 1110 nt
Organism: Coregonus clupeaformis (lake whitefish)
Lineage: Eukaryota; Metazoa; Chordata; Actinopteri; Salmoniformes; Salmonidae
Exons: 3
Source: RefSeq, a predicted model, not a curated record